Long non-coding RNA from Neltuma alba, 172 nucleotides. RefSeq lists it as uncharacterized. NCBI's taxonomy places the organism in Eukaryota, Viridiplantae, Streptophyta, Magnoliopsida, Fabales, Fabaceae. The transcript has 3 exons. The record is from RefSeq and is a predicted model, not a curated record.
GACUACUUUUGUGGAAGGCAUCAUCAAGCAAUUUGUAAUCUGCAAAAGCAGAAAGCUAAGGAGUCUAUUCUUGUUAAGCAAUUUGCAAUUUGCGAAAACAGUUUGUUCGCACUUGAACUCUUCUGCUUAUUUGAUAGCAUUGUGCUUCUAAUUUUUUUCCUACAAAAAAACA